UCACUCUGACGCUUCUCGUGGGGCCACUUAGUCGACUUCCACAUGCAAAGUGGAGCCAAGGAAUCAGGCAUGUGCUCCUCGUUGUCCUUGACCUCCAAGGACGCAAGUCCCCAACCUUGGUUCCUCUGCGACUACCACACCAAUCUCGACGCCCACCUCCCUACAACUGUUGCCAGCACCGACUCUCAACGUUGAGUUAACCUGAUACGCUCAAGGGCUAUGUAGAGUGGGUUGUCAAGAUGAAGGGCUCGACAUUGAGUCCAUCGAGUAGUUCGUACAUGGUGUGAUGACCUGGGCUCCCAUGGCUGCCUCCUAGGCUACAAC
Triticum dicoccoides is the source of this 324-nucleotide long non-coding RNA. RefSeq lists it as uncharacterized. The record is from RefSeq and is a predicted model, not a curated record. Lineage: Eukaryota; Viridiplantae; Streptophyta; Magnoliopsida; Poales; Poaceae. The transcript has 3 exons.